Molecule: ribosomal RNA, 496 nt
Filed under: uncultured bacterium
Lineage: Bacteria
Description: partial 16S ribosomal RNA
Rfam family: Bacterial small subunit ribosomal RNA
Source: RNAcentral
AUUGAACGCUGGCGGCAGGCCUAACACAUGCAAGUCGAGCGUGAAAGUUCUUCGGAAUGAGUAAAGCGGCGGACGGGUGAGUAACGCGUAGGAAUCUGCCCUGAAGUGGGGGAUAACUUGGGGAAACUCAAGCUAAUACCGCAUAGACCUGAGGGUGAAAGAUGGGGAUCUUCGGACCUAUCGCUUCAGGAGGAGCCUGCGUCGGAUUAGCUGGUUGGUAGGGUAAAGGCCUACCAAGGCGACGAUCCGUAGCUGGUCUGAGAGGAUGACCAGCCACACUGGGACUGAGACACGGCCCAGACUCCUACGGGAGGCAGCAGUGGGGGAUAUUGGACAAUGGGCGCAGGCCUGAUCCAGCAAUGCCGCGUGUGUGAAGAAGGCCUGCGGGUUGUAAGGCACUUUAGUUGGGGAAGAAGGGUUGUAUUUUAAUAGAAUGCAACAUUGACGUUACCCAAAGAAUAAGCACCGGCUAACUCUGUGCCAGCAGCCGCAGUAA